Molecule: ribosomal RNA, 380 nt
Filed under: uncultured bacterium
Lineage: Bacteria
Description: partial 16S ribosomal RNA
Rfam family: Bacterial small subunit ribosomal RNA
Source: RNAcentral
CCUACGGGAGGCAGCAGUAGUGAAUUUUGCGCAAUGGGCGAAAGCCUGACGCAGCAACGCCGCGUGAUUGAUUAAGCCCUUCGGGGUGUAAAGAUCUGUCAGUGGGGACGAAACUUGACGGUACCCACAGAGGAAGCACCGGCUAACUCCGUGCCAGCAGCCGCGGUAAUACGGAGGGUGCAAGCGUUGUCCGGAAUCAUGGGGCGUAAAGAGUUCGUAGGUGGCAUUUUAAGUCUGGUGUUAAAUGCAGAAGCUCAACUUCUGUUCGGCACUGGAUACUGGUAAGCUUGAAUGCGGUAGAGGCAGAGGGAAUGCGGGGUGGAGCGGGGAAAUGCGUAGAUAUGAGGAGGAAGAGCAGGGGCGAAGGCGCUUGGCUGGGC